Molecule: ribosomal RNA, 1540 nt
Filed under: Staphylococcus aureus
Lineage: Bacteria; Bacillati; Bacillota; Bacilli; Caryophanales; Staphylococcaceae
Description: 16S ribosomal RNA
Rfam family: Bacterial small subunit ribosomal RNA
Source: RNAcentral
AGAGUUUGAUCCUGGCUCAGGAUGAACGCUGGCGGCGUGCCUAAUACAUGCAAGUCGAGCGAACGGACGAGAAGCUUGCUUCUCUGAUGUUAGCGGCGGACGGGUGAGUAACACGUGGAUAACCUACCUAUAAGACUGGGAUAACUUCGGGAAACCGGAGCUAAUACCGGAUAAUAUUUUGAACCGCAUGGUUCAAAAGUGAAAGACGGUCUUGCUGUCACUUAUAGAUGGAUCCGCGCUGCAUUAGCUAGUUGGUAAGGUAACGGCUUACCAAGGCAACGAUGCAUAGCCGACCUGAGAGGGUGAUCGGCCACACUGGAACUGAGACACGGUCCAGACUCCUACGGGAGGCAGCAGUAGGGAAUCUUCCGCAAUGGGCGAAAGCCUGACGGAGCAACGCCGCGUGAGUGAUGAAGGUCUUCGGAUCGUAAAACUCUGUUAUUAGGGAAGAACAUAUGUGUAAGUAACUGUGCACAUCUUGACGGUACCUAAUCAGAAAGCCACGGCUAACUACGUGCCAGCAGCCGCGGUAAUACGUAGGUGGCAAGCGUUAUCCGGAAUUAUUGGGCGUAAAGCGCGCGUAGGCGGUUUUUUAAGUCUGAUGUGAAAGCCCACGGCUCAACCGUGGAGGGUCAUUGGAAACUGGAAAACUUGAGUGCAGAAGAGGAAAGUGGAAUUCCAUGUGUAGCGGUGAAAUGCGCAGAGAUAUGGAGGAACACCAGUGGCGAAGGCGACUUUCUGGUCUGUAACUGACGCUGAUGUGCGAAAGCGUGGGGAUCAAACAGGAUUAGAUACCCUGGUAGUCCACGCCGUAAACGAUGAGUGCUAAGUGUUAGGGGGUUUCCGCCCCUUAGUGCUGCAGCUAACGCAUUAAGCACUCCGCCUGGGGAGUACGACCGCAAGGUUGAAACUCAAAGGAAUUGACGGGGACCCGCACAAGCGGUGGAGCAUGUGGUUUAAUUCGAAGCAACGCGAAGAACCUUACCAAAUCUUGCCAUCCUUUGACAACUCUAGAGAUAGAGCCUUCCCCUUCGGGGGACAAAGUGACAGGUGGUGCAUGGUUGUCGUCAGCUCGUGUCGUGAGAUGUUGGGUUAAGUCCCGCAACGAGCGCAACCCUUAAGCUUAGUUGCCAUCAUUAAGUUGGGCACUCUAAGUUGACUGCCGGUGACAAACCGGAGGAAGGUGGGGAUGACGUCAAAUCAUCAUGCCCCUUAUGAUUUGGGCUACACACGUGCUACAAUGGACAAUACAAAGGGCAGCGAAACCGCGAGGUCAAGCAAAUCCCAUAAAGUUGUUCUCAGUUCGGAUUGUAGUCUGCAACUCGACUACAUGAAGCUGGAAUCGCUAGUAAUCGUAGAUCAGCAUGCUACGGUGAAUACGUUCCCGGGUCUUGUACACACCGCCCGUCACACCACGAGAGUUUGUAACACCCGAAGCCGGUGGAGUAACCUUUUAGGAGCUAGCCGUCGAAGGUGGGACAAAUGAUUGGGGUGAAGUCGUAACAAGGUAGCCGUAUCGGAAGGUGCGGCUGGAUCACCU